RNAcentral lists this transfer RNA (71 nucleotides) under Puccinia triticina 1-1 BBBD Race 1. RNAcentral describes it as "tRNA-Thr (AGT) (tRNA-Thr-AGT-60-1)". It matches the Rfam family "tRNA". From Rfam's summary of the family: Transfer RNA (tRNA) molecules are approximately 80 nucleotides in length. Their secondary structure includes four short double-helical elements and three loops (D, anti-codon, and T loops). Further hydrogen bonds mediate the characteristic L-shaped molecular structure. tRNAs have two regions of fundamental functional importance: the anti-codon, which is responsible for specific mRNA codon recognition, and the 3' end, to which the tRNAs corresponding amino acid is attached (by aminoacyl-tRNA synthetases). tRNAs cope with the degeneracy of the genetic code in two manners: having more than one tRNA (with a specific anti-codon) for a particular amino acid; and 'wobble' base-pairing, i.e. permitting non-standard base-pairing at the 3rd anti-codon position. The record is from RNAcentral. Lineage: Eukaryota; Fungi; Basidiomycota; Pucciniomycetes; Pucciniales; Pucciniaceae.
GCGUCUGUAGCCUAGUUGGUAAAGGCAGCACUCUAGUACUGAGUUCGUGAGUUCGACUCUCACCAGACACA